Malus domestica (apple) is the source of this 1669-nucleotide non-coding RNA. Lineage: Eukaryota; Viridiplantae; Streptophyta; Magnoliopsida; Rosales; Rosaceae. The record is from RefSeq and is a predicted model, not a curated record.
UGGUUUGGCAUUAGUUAUUGUUAUCUAGAUUUUGUAUCUUUAUGUGGAAAUGAGUUAUAGCUGGAAAAUGAGAAGCAGAGUAAGCAAAUUACGAAGAUACCUCCAGAAGAGUACAAAAUGCCACUGGUAUGGAUUGACUUGGAAAUGACUGGUGAGGGUAAAAUAAUUCCUUGGAGUGAAGCUCCUUAUAAGGAUGCUGCAGAGAGAACGGCAUCUGGGAAUUUACCUCUUAAUGCAUUUUUGUCUGAGUGGGCCCUCAUGACACUUUUAAAUCCAAACCGAAGUUUGGCGAAUUUGAUAUAUGUUGGAUACAAUGGCAGUCCUGCUUCAGCUAUCCAUGUUACUAGAAGAAGAUCAGUAGAUCGUAAAAGGAAAAAAACGGAAAGAAAUGUUAGCUGCUUCAUUUUUGGUCCUAAAAAUGCAGGAAAAUCCCCUCUUUUAAAUUCAUUCAUAGGAAGGUAUGGUUUUCCCCCUUCACUGUACUCAACAUAGUUAAUUAGUUCCGUAUAUUAUAAAUGUGAAGAGAAAGGGUACCACCAUACCUAAUCCCGUUUUCUGAAUCUUUGGUAUAACAAAAUUUAUUGGGUGAUAACUUCCUAGCUCUCAGAUGCUGUUAUAGUUCUACACAAAUGAACUCUUUUGCUCCUAAAACUACCCAAUUUUCUUUUCUUUUUUCUUUUCAAACUGAGACAGAGCUCACCGUGUCUGCUAUCCCUUUCCUGUUUGACUCUGAUCUAUCUUCCAUCUUAAAAAAGUAUAGCAUCUGAUGAUUACAUAUGAUGGGAUUGUCUCUUGGUAAGUGCAACGAUUCCCCUUUCAAUUUCUCAUGUCUCCUAAAUCCCUAAGAUUGUAUUUUUGCCUGAUGAGAAGAGAUUCAUACUCCUCUUGCCUCUAAACACUUAAUUUGGAGUAUGCAGUUUUGACUCCUGUUAUAUUCUCAUUAGGGAAUAGGGAUACAAAGCUCAAUACUUUCGAAUGAUAAAAGUUUUUGUCAAGAUUCUGACUUGAUAUAUGUGCGUAGAUAUGUAGCCUAUAGAGAGAGCUAUAUUCACUGAUAACAAAUGGAUGUGUAGGGACGUAUGAGACAACAAUCACUCAUUCUUGUGUAUACUUCUCAUAUUGUCAUUGAUUGCUUUAGGUGGUAAUUAUGUCGCUCCUUGAGAUAAUAAUAUGACUGAAAUGCUCUCUGAUUUGUGAAUAGAUCAUUUUUGCAGCAUUUUUCCUUUGUGGGUAUUUAUAAAAUUUAAGUUGUUCAUGCAAGUGAAUCUUUUAAAUGUGGUCCAGAUUAUAAAAAAUGCAGAUCUUGAAUAAUUACGGGAAUUAUGAUCUGGUACAUAUGGAACUGUUUAUCAUGGAAAAUGGCGGGGAACAGAUGUUGCUAUAAAGCGAAUAAAAAAGAGCUGUUUUGCAGGAAGAUCAUCAGAGCAAGACCGACUGACAAAGGACUUCUGGAGAGAGGCGCAAAUCCUUUCAGCUCUCCAUCAUCCAAAUGUGGUUGCAUUAUAUGGGGUAGUACCUGAUGGAGCUGGAGGAACGUUGGCAACUGUAACUGAGUACAUGGUGAACGGAUCACUUAGGCAUGCCCUACUUAAAAAGAAUAGAUCACUUGACCGUCGUAGAAAGCUUAUAAUUGCCAUGGAUGCUGCUUUUGGCAUGGAAUAAUUGCAUU